GGGGGAAAAAUUAAUUAAUAAGUUAGUUUAAUAAAAAAAUUUUUAAUUAAAAUAUUUUGGGGUUAAAGUAUUAUUUAAGAAAAAAUUAUAUAAUUUAUAGUGAAUUAGUUAUAGUGAGAGAAUUUUGAAAUAAAUGAAAAUUAAAUUAAUGAAAAGUAGUUUUAAUUGAUGUAUCUUGAGUAUCAGAGUUUAUUUAAAAAAUAUUUUUUAGUUAAAAAAAUUCUCGAAUUAAAAGAGAUAAUUUAAUUAAUUAAAGUUAUUGUAGCAUAAAUAUUUUUAAAUAAUUAAUUUGAAGUGAAAUGUUAAUCGUUUUUAAAUAUAUCUAGUUUUUUUAGAAAAAAAUUUAAUUUUAUUUUAUUUCAAUAAAAAAAAUUAAUUAAUUAAUUUUUUUUUUAUUGAAAUAAAAUUAUAAUUUAGGGGAUAAGCUUUAAUUUAAAGUUAUAUAAAUAAAAUUAAGUUUAUUAAUUAAGAUUUUUAUGAUUUAAAUUGUUAAAAAAUUUUAAUUUACUAUAAAUAAUUUUAUUUAAAAUAAAAUUUAAUGUUAUAUUUAUUUUAUAUUUUUAUAAAAAAUAAAUUUAAAAUUAAAUAAAAAUUGAUAUAAUGAUAAAAUUAGUAUAUAAAAUAAGGUAAGAUUAAUUUAAUAAUUUUUUUUUUAAGUAGUUAAAAGGAAUUCGGCAAAAAUUUAUAUUCACUUGUUUAUCAAAAACAUGUCUUUUUGAAUAUAAUAUAAAGUCUAAUCUGCCCACUGAUUUUAAUUUAAAGGGCUGCAGUAUAUUGACUGUACAAAGGUAGCAUAAUCAUUAGUCACUUAAUUGGUGACUUGUAUGAAGGAUUGGAUGAAAUAUAAUCUGUCUCUUGAUUAUAAAUAGAAUUUAAUUUUUUAAUUAAAAAGUUAAAAUAUUUUAAAAAGACGAGAAGACCCUAUAGAGUUUUAUAGUUAAAUUUAAUUAAGAUUAUUUAUAAAAUAAAAAUUGAAAUUAUUUUAAUUAUUUUGUUGGGGUGACAGAAAAAUAUAAAAAACUUUUUAUAAUUUAAAACAUAGAUAAGUGAUUAAAUGAUCCAAUAUUAUUGAUUAUAAGAUAAAAUUACCUUAGGGAUAACAGCGUAAUUUUUUUUUUUAGUUCAUAUAAGAAAAAGAGUUUGCGACCUCGAUGUUGGAUUAAGAUAAAAUUUAAAUGUAGAAGUUUAAAGUUUUUGAUCUGUUCGAUCAUUAAAAUCUUACAUGAUCUGAGUUCAAACCGGUGUAAGCCAGGUUGGUUUCUAUCUUUUGAAAAUUAAAAUAUUUUAGUACGAAAGGAUUGAAUAUUUAAAUUAAAUUUAUAUAAUUAAUGAAUAUUAUUAAAUUUAUAAUAUAAUAUAAAUAUAUAUAUAUAUAUAAAUUAAUA
RNAcentral lists this ribosomal RNA (1385 nucleotides) under Sesamia inferens (purple stem borer). RNAcentral's name for it is "16S ribosomal RNA". The record is from RNAcentral. Lineage: Eukaryota; Metazoa; Arthropoda; Insecta; Lepidoptera; Noctuidae.